This 515-nucleotide ribosomal RNA is filed under the name Parnassius jacquemontii (keeled apollo). Its description in RNAcentral is "partial 16S ribosomal RNA". The stretch from base 388 to 515 matches the Rfam family "Bacterial large subunit ribosomal RNA", at positions 2473 to 2600 of the family's 2925-position model. Lineage: Eukaryota; Metazoa; Arthropoda; Insecta; Lepidoptera; Papilionidae. The record is from RNAcentral.
GUCUUUUUGAUUAAUAAUUUAAAGUCUAAUCUGCCCACUGAUAAUAUAUUAAAGGGCUGCAGUAUUUUGACUGUACAAAGGUAGCAUAAUCAUUAGUCUCUUAAUUGGUGACUUGUAUGAAGGAUUUGAUGAGAUAUAUACUGUCUCUUUUUGAUUUAUAAAAUUUAAUUUUUUAGUUAAAAAGCUAAAAUAUAUUUAAAAGACGAGAAGACCCUAUAGAGUUUUAUAUUUAUAUAAAUUAAGAUUUUUUAUAAGAUUUAAAAUUUUAAUUUAUAUAAAUAUUUUGUUGGGGUGAUAGAAAAAUUAAAAUAACUUUUUUUAUAAUUUUACAUUAAUAAGUGAAUAAAUGAUCCGUAAUUUACGAUUAUAAGAUAAAAUUACCUUAGGGAUAACAGCGUAAUUUUUUUUUUUAGUUCAAAUAAGAAAAAAAGUUUGCGACCUCGAUGUUGGAUUAAGAUAAAAUUUAAAUGCAAAAGUUUAAAAUUUUUGAUCUGUUCGAUCAUUAAAAUCUUACA